AGCGAACGCUGGCGGCGUGCUUAACACAUGCAAGUCGAGCGAAGGUGGUUUCAAGGGUAACCUUGAGAUACACUUAGCGGCGGACGGGUGAGUAAUACGUGGAUAACUUACCGUCUAGGCCCUGGGAUAACCCCGGGAAACUGGGGCUAAUACCUGAUAAGACCACAUUGUCUACGGACAAAGGGGUAAAGGUGGCUGUGCAAACAGCUAUCGCCAAAAGNUAGGUUCACGUCCCAUCAGGCAGUGGUGAGGUAAUGGCUCACCAAACC
Molecule: ribosomal RNA, 269 nt
Filed under: uncultured bacterium
Lineage: Bacteria
Description: partial 16S ribosomal RNA
Rfam family: Bacterial small subunit ribosomal RNA
Source: RNAcentral